GAGGUGGAGGAGCUUCAGGACGACUGGAGUCCCAGGAACGCUCGAGAAGACCAGGAUGAUGAUGUCCCAGCAGAGGCUAGACAGAACCGGGUUUAUCUAUGCAGGAAACGUGAGCCGGUCCAAACAGAGAGGAACUGGAUGACAGAGGUGGAUAUUUACAGAAAUCGUGGUGGAGGAAGGGAAGAAAAGCCAUUGAGAUGAUUGUCCUGUAGAUGACCCAGUUUGGACCUCAGCUGGUGGACAGAUGGGUCCAGUCGGUUACUGCGGGUCCGCCCAGGUCCUUAGGCACCAAAACAAGCCCAGAUCUUCAGCCCUCCACCACCGUGCUGCGCUGUUCAUAUUAAAAAUGGACUGAGAAUCUGGCUGGCGACCAGAAUCAGACGAUUUCCAACCCUAUCGGCCCAGAAAGGCGACCAUGUGGCACAACGCUGUCCGGUGUGGACUCCGUCACUGAGGAGAGAAAAACUUUCAUUGUUUUCUCUGUCAGCUAAGAUGAACUCAGAUGAAGCAGAGAUCUGAGAUCUAAGAUUUUAAAUGAAUCUGUUUUCUACAACAUGUCGAGCUGAGCCACUGAUUCCUUCGGGCUGCAAGACAGCGAGAGAGAGCGACACUUUUAGCAGAUAACGGGAAGUUUAAAUGAAAUCCAUCAAAGUUAAUGUUUGAUCCUGCUGCUUUCUCCCUGUGCAUGCAACAUGCUGCGCUCCCUUUGGACAUCUCAGAGUUAAAGUACAGAUCUGCAUCUUCAUGAAGAAACGGCGCUUCACAAAGCUGCUCUAGCUACUCUCUAGGAUGCUAUAUACAUUUUAAAAUAUAACAGCUGACUGUAAUUAUUUUAUUUUAACAUAAUAGUACCACUAAUAUAGCAUCAAUCUCUUUGACCGUCACCUUUGCUCCUGAAAUCAAUCUUUAAUGAUCACUUCCUGCAGGAAUGCUAAAAAAUAUAUAUGUUGAAUCAUAUCUUUUUAUG
This is a long non-coding RNA of Fundulus heteroclitus (mummichog), 967 nucleotides long. RefSeq lists it as uncharacterized. The transcript has 3 exons. Lineage: Eukaryota; Metazoa; Chordata; Actinopteri; Cyprinodontiformes; Fundulidae. The record is from RefSeq and is a predicted model, not a curated record.